Molecule: ribosomal RNA, 432 nt
Filed under: uncultured bacterium
Lineage: Bacteria
Description: bacterial SSU rRNA
Rfam family: Bacterial small subunit ribosomal RNA
Source: RNAcentral
GGGCCCGCACAAGCGGUGGAGUAUGUGGUUUAAUUCGAUGCAACGCGAAGAACCUUACCAGGGUUUGACAUCCUGCGAAUCUCUUGGAAACGAGAGAGUGCCUUCGGGAACGCAGUGACAGGUGGUGCAUGGCUGUCGUCAGCUCGUGUCGUGAGAUGUUGGGUUAAGUCCCGCAACGAGCGCAACCCACGUCUUUAGUUGCCAGCAUUUAGUUGGGCACUCUAGAGAGACUGCCGGUGAUAAACCGGAGGAAGGUGUGGAUGACGUCAAGUCAUCAUGCCCCUUACAUCCUGGGCUACACACGUACUACAAUGCUACGGACAAAGGGCUGCAAGUUCGCGAGGACAAGCAAAUCCCAUAAACCGUGGCUCAGUUCGGAUUGUUGUCUGCAACUCGACAACAUGAAGUCGGAAUCGCUAGUAAUCGCGUAUC